UACGUAGGGUGCGAGCGUUAAUCGGAAUUACUGGGCGUAAAGCGUGCGCAGGCGGCCUGGCAAGUCGAUGGUGAAAGCCCGAGGCUCAACUUCGGGUCGGCCACUGAUACUGCUGGGCUUGAGUCGACUAGAGGCAGAUGGAAUUCCGGGUGUAGCGGUGGAAUGCGUAGAGAUCCGGAAGAACACCGGUGGCGAAGGCGGUCUGCUGGGGUCGAACUGACGCUGAGGCGCGACAGCGUGGGGAGCGAACAGG
RNAcentral lists this ribosomal RNA (253 nucleotides) under uncultured bacterium. RNAcentral describes it as "partial 16S ribosomal RNA". It matches the Rfam family "Bacterial small subunit ribosomal RNA", at positions 524 to 776 of the family's 1533-position model. The record is from RNAcentral.